GUCUUCUGCUCAAAAAAGGAAAAGAGAAAAAAUAAAAAUGUUAAGUGUACAUGGAAGGCAUGACCGAAAAUAGAUCGUAGUAAAUGAGAAAAAUCAAUCUGUUGGUCCCAGUAAAGAUGUUGUGACAAAAUUGGGCAGUUUCUUUGGCACAUUGGCAAGGAAUGCGAAUCUUUGUCCUCUUGAUAUAUAUGAUUGGAGGAAAAUGGACACAAAAGACGAUUUGUAGGAAUAUACCAAGGAGAAGUAUGAUAUCCCUGACACUGCAAAAAAAUGGGUUUUGGAUGGAAUUCAAGCUGAUUGGAGAAGACACAAGAGUAAUUUGAAAAAAAAGUACUUUGAAGCCUACGACAAUGAUGAAAUUCGAAUGCAAAAUAGGCCUGAAUAUAUUCCAACAUCUCAAUUUAAGGAUCUCCUCAAAUAUUAGAACUCCCGAAAAAGUCCAGGUGAACCAAAUAAUCAAGGGGGAGAUGAAAGCAGUGAAGACCUUACCUAAAAGUAUUGAUUGAAGAAUCUUCAGACAAUCUAGGAAUGUUUUUAUUUUUGAACUAUUUUGCAAACUUAUGUAUUCCAACUCUUGGAUUAUUAAACACUUAUUUUUGAACAUUUUCA
Molecule: non-coding RNA, 609 nt
Organism: Nicotiana tabacum (common tobacco)
Lineage: Eukaryota; Viridiplantae; Streptophyta; Magnoliopsida; Solanales; Solanaceae
Source: RefSeq, a predicted model, not a curated record